UACAGAGGUCUCAAGCGUUGUCCGGAUUUAUUGGGCGUAAAGCGCUCGCAGGUGGUUCGUCGCGUCGUGCGUGAAAGACCCCGGCUCAACUGGGGAGGGUCGUGCGAUACGGGCGGACUGGAGGCCAGUAGGGGGAUGCGGAAUUCCGGGUGUAGUGGUGGAAUGCGUAGAGAUCCGGAGGGACACCAGCGGCGAAGGCGGCAUCCUGGACUGGUCCUGACACUCAGGAGCGAAAGCGUGGGGAGCGAUCCGG
Molecule: ribosomal RNA, 253 nt
Filed under: uncultured bacterium
Lineage: Bacteria
Description: partial 16S ribosomal RNA
Rfam family: Bacterial small subunit ribosomal RNA
Source: RNAcentral